This 253-nucleotide ribosomal RNA is filed under the name uncultured bacterium. RNAcentral describes it as "partial 16S ribosomal RNA". It matches the Rfam family "Bacterial small subunit ribosomal RNA", at positions 524 to 776 of the family's 1533-position model. The record is from RNAcentral.
UACGUAGGGUGCAAGCGUUAAUCGGAAUUACUGGGCGUAAAGCGUGCGCAGGCGGUUAUGCAAGACAGAUGUGAAAUCCCCGGGCUCAACCUGGGAACUGCAUUUGUGACUGUAUAGCUAGAGUACGGUAGAGGGGGAUGGAAUUCCGCGUGUAGCAGUGAAAUGCGUAGAUAUGCGGAGGAACACCGAUGGCGAAGGCAAUCCCCUGGACCUGUACUGACGCUCAUGCACGAAAGCGUGGGGAGCAAACAGG